AGGGUUUGAUCCUGGCUCAGAACGAACGCUGGCGGCGUGCUUAACACAUGCAAGUCGAACGAGAACGGUUUUCUUCGGAGGACCUAUUAAAGUGGCGCACGGGUGAGUAACACGUAGAUAAUCUACCCAGGUGUCUGGGAUAACUAACCGAAAGGUUAGCUAAUACCUGAUACGUUCAUGUUGUCGCAAGACGGGAUGAAGAAAGAUGGCCUCUCCAUGGAAGCUAUUGCAUUUGGAUGAGUUUGCGUACCAUUAGCUAGUUGGUGGGGUAAGAGCCUACCAAGGCUACGAUGGUUAGCGGGUCUGAGAGGAUGAUCCGCCACACUGGAACUGGAACACGGACCAGACUCCUACGGGAGGCAGCAGUGAGGAAUUUUGCGCAAUGGGGGAAACCCUGACGCAGCGACGCCGCGUGGACGAUGAAGGCCUUCGGGUUGUAAAGUCCUGUCAGAAGGGAAGAAGUGUAUAUGUGCUAAUAACGCAUAUAUUUGACGGUACCCUCAAAGGAAGCACCGGCUAACUCCGUGCCAGCAGCCGCGGUA
Molecule: ribosomal RNA, 542 nt
Filed under: uncultured bacterium
Lineage: Bacteria
Description: bacterial SSU rRNA
Rfam family: Bacterial small subunit ribosomal RNA
Source: RNAcentral